AUACGUAGGUGGCAAGCGUUGUCCGGAAUUAUUGGGCGUAAAGCGCGCGCAGGUGGUUCCUUAAGUCUGAUGUGAAAGCCCCCGGCUCAACCGGGGAGGGUCAUUGGAAACUGGGGAACUUGAGUGCAGAAGAGGAUAGUGGAAUUCCAAGUGUAGCGGUGAAAUGCGUAGAGAUUUGGAGGAACACCAGUGGCGAAGGCGACGGUCUGGUCUGUAACUGACACUGAGGCGCGAAAGCGUGGGGAGCAAACAGGAUUAGAUACCCUGGUAGUCCACGCCGUAAACGAUGAGUGCUAAGUGUUGGGGGGUUUCCGCCCCUCAGUGCUGCAGCUAACGCAUUAAGCACUCCGCCUGGGGAGUACGGUCGCAAGACUGAAACUCAAAGGAAUUGACGGGG
This 397-nucleotide ribosomal RNA is filed under the name uncultured bacterium. RNAcentral's name for it is "partial 16S ribosomal RNA". It matches the Rfam family "Bacterial small subunit ribosomal RNA", at positions 523 to 918 of the family's 1533-position model. The record is from RNAcentral.